AGAGAGAGACAUGCGCGCAUAUCAAUAAGCGGAGGAAAAGAAACUAACAAGGAUUCCCCUAGUAACGGCGAGUGAAGCGGGAAGAGCUCAAAUUUGAAAUCUUAAAGGGUUUCCCUUUACGAAUUGUAGUUUAAAGAAGUGUUUUCUGUUGAGGUUUUGGUAAAAGUUCUCUGGAAUAGGACAUCAUAGAGGGUGAGAAUCCCGUAUUUGACCUUUACUUUCAACUUUGUGAUACACUUUCAAAGAGUCGGAUUGUUUGGGAAUGCAGUCCAAAAUGGGUGGUAAAUUUCAUCUAAAGCUAAAUAUUGGCGAGAGACCGAUAGCGAACAAGUACCGUGAGGGAAAGAUGAGAAGAACUUUGAAAAGAGAGUUAAACAGUACGUGAAAUUGUCAAAAGGGAAGCGUUUGACACCAGUGUUGUUUUUCUGAAAAUCAAUUAAAGAACUGUUUAUGCUAAGCUGUUUAGACUUUAUCAGCUAUCUGUUUAGUUUUGAGCUUUUCUUUGAUGCACUUUUCAGUUAACAAGUCAACAUCAAUUUCUUUUGCUGUAAAAAAGCUUGAGGAAGGUGGCUUGAGAUUCGUCUUAAGUGUUCAUAGCCUCUUGCCUAUGCAGUCGGAGAGAUUGAGGUCAGCAGCGUAGAUCCUUCGGGGCUAAAUGCAUUUGUGCUAAGUUAUAGCAUUUUAUAGACAACUUGUUGACUAUGAUUUGUCUUGUAGCUUACUCGCUUAUGUUAUUUUACCUACGCUUAGGAUGUUGACGCAUGAGAUAUACGC
This 774-nucleotide ribosomal RNA is filed under the name uncultured Neocallimastigales. RNAcentral describes it as "partial large subunit ribosomal RNA". It matches the Rfam family "Eukaryotic large subunit ribosomal RNA", at positions 23 to 647 of the family's 3401-position model. The record is from RNAcentral. Lineage: Eukaryota; Fungi; Neocallimastigomycota; Neocallimastigomycetes; Neocallimastigales.